UACGGAGGAUGCGAGCGUUAUCCGGAUUUAUUGGGUUUAAAGGGUGCGUAGGCGGUCUUUUAAGUCUGAUGUGAAAGCCUUCGGCUUAACCGGAGUAGUGCAUUGGAAACUGGGAGACUUGAGUGCAGAAGAGGAGAGUGGAACUCCAUGUGUAGCGGUGAAAUGCGUAGAUAUAUGGAAGAACACCAGUGGCGAAAGCGGCUCUCUGGUCUGUAACUGACGCUGAGGUUCGAAAGCGUGGGUAGCAAACAGG
Molecule: ribosomal RNA, 253 nt
Filed under: uncultured bacterium
Lineage: Bacteria
Description: partial 16S ribosomal RNA
Rfam family: Bacterial small subunit ribosomal RNA
Source: RNAcentral